Molecule: long non-coding RNA, 317 nt
Filed under: Manihot esculenta (cassava)
Lineage: Eukaryota; Viridiplantae; Streptophyta; Magnoliopsida; Malpighiales; Euphorbiaceae
Description: long non-coding RNA (MESC_LNC011988)
Source: RNAcentral
ACACCACCACAACCACAACUACCACCAUCAUCAUCUACUGCUCAACACUGCUUAAGAAUUGAAGAAUCUAUGGCAUACUAAUAUUGACCCUUAGAAAAUUCUUACAUUAAUGUCUUAACUUCCAAAAAUAAUCCAAAUUAAUUUAUAUCAUAAUAAAACUGAUUGGUCUAAUUCAAACCAAAGCCAAAAUUUUGUAUUUUUUUUUAAAUCUGUCCAUUAAUCGGCUAUUAAAUAAAAUUCUGUAAGAAUAUUGACUAAAAAUGGAAGUUUUCUUUAUUAACAAGGCCCACCAUAUUGUGAUAUUAAAAGCCCUCCAC